GCCGACUUAGCACAGUGGCAGUGCGUCUCCCUCGUAAGGAGAAGGCCGCGUGUUCGAUCCACGCAGUCGGUA
Phlyctochytrium arcticum is the source of this 72-nucleotide non-coding RNA. The record is from the annotation of a GenBank genome assembly. NCBI's taxonomy places the organism in Eukaryota, Fungi, Chytridiomycota, Chytridiomycetes, Chytridiales, Chytridiaceae.